CCCUUAGAUGUUCUGGGCUGCACGCGCGCUACACUGAAGCUAUCAACACGUUUUCCCUCCCUGAGAAGGGCGGGUAACCUUUUGAAUCAGCUUCGUGGUAGGGAUCGGGGCUUGCAAUUGUUCCCCGUGAACCAGGAAUUCCUAGUAGACGCGAGUCAUAAGCUCGCAUCUAUUAAGUCCCUGCCCUUUGUACACACCGCCCGUCGCUACUACCGAUUGAACGUUUUAGUGAGGCAUUUGGACCGACGCAUCUCAGUUUAACCGCUGGUUUGUGUUGGAAAGACUUCCAAACUUGAGCGUUUAGAGGAAGUAAAAGUCGUAACA
RNAcentral lists this ribosomal RNA (324 nucleotides) under uncultured eukaryote. Its description in RNAcentral is "partial 18S ribosomal RNA". It matches the Rfam family "Eukaryotic small subunit ribosomal RNA", at positions 1470 to 1796 of the family's 1831-position model. The record is from RNAcentral.